UCGUUCGCCGAGAGCAAACACAAAUACAGCCAAUGGUCCGGGGGCGAUUGUGGCUGAGGAAAGGGACGCGGGGCGAAUAACGAAUGGGGCGCGGGGCAUGGGUGGCAAUGGGGCCAAUAACUAAAUCAGUUAAGAGAGCUGUUGGCGUCCGUCGGAGGUCGAGAGGCGGCUGCUCGCCAAGUGCUGCCCCCAAGCCCGCACAGCCCUCACUUUUCAAUGAUUCGCAUUUCUCUUGGUUCUUUUUUUCUUUUCUUUUCGUUUUGUACUUUUGCAUUUUGUUUUGGUAUCAUGGUUUAUUUCGUUUUUCCCUUGCUUGCGAAAUUAUUUAUGCAUUUUGCAUUUUGUUCUUUACGUCGAGCGUUUAUUAGUUGCAAUUUGCUUGCGGUAAAAGUUGUUCGCCAACAAGUCGAACAAAUUAAAUAAUUUAACACAAGGAAAGUUGCGAAUAUGGGUAAAAAUAAAGGCGGCGGCGGUGGAGGCGGUGGAGGAGGAGGAGGAGGAGGAGGAGGCGGCGGCGGCGGCAAUGUAAGCAAUAUUUGUGUUAUGCAACUCGCGUUUUAAUUAAAAAAAGUGGUGGUGGUGGAGGCGGCGCAGCAGGUGGUGGUGGCAAAAACAAAGCAGCUGCUCCGGCCGCAGACAAAGCUGGCGCCAAGAAGGGGCCAGAGCCCAAGGCAGGCGGCGGCGGCAAGAAGGGCGGCAAAAAAUAGGACAUCACAUUGCCAGGAAAGCGCAUUAAAUUAAAUAUUAGAAUAAAUAUGUAUGCAACUAUAUUUUUUAAGUUUAAAACGAGAUAUUAAACGCGAGAGUUUUUAA
Molecule: unclassified non-coding RNA, 813 nt
Filed under: Drosophila virilis
Lineage: Eukaryota; Metazoa; Arthropoda; Insecta; Diptera; Drosophilidae
Description: GJ11083
Source: RNAcentral